This 1983-nucleotide ribosomal RNA is filed under the name Vibrio splendidus 12E03. Its description in RNAcentral is "bacterial LSU rRNA". It matches the Rfam family "Bacterial large subunit ribosomal RNA", at positions 146 to 2163 of the family's 2925-position model. The record is from RNAcentral. Lineage: Bacteria; Pseudomonadati; Pseudomonadota; Gammaproteobacteria; Vibrionales; Vibrionaceae.
AAGUAUCCUGUUGUGAAUACAUAGCAACAGGAGGCAAACCGGGGGAACUGAAACAUCUAAGUACCCCGAGGAAGAGAAAUCAACCGAGAUUCCGAAAGUAGCGGCGAGCGAAAUUGGAUUAGCCCUUAAGCUUUUAAUGAGACAGAUGAAGGCUCUGGAAAGUGCCGCAAUAAAGGGUGAUAGCCCCGUAAUCGACAUCUCAUCAUCAGUGAAAACGAGUAGGGCGGGACACGUGAUAUCCUGUCUGAAUAUGGGGGGACCAUCCUCCAAGGCUAAAUACUACUGACUGACCGAUAGUGAACCAGUACCGUGAGGGAAAGGCGAAAAGAACCCCUGUGAGGGGAGUGAAAUAGAACCUGAAACCGUGUCGUACAAGCAGUAGGAGCACCUUCGUGGUGUGACUGCGUACCUUUUGUAUAAUGGGUCAGCGACUUAAUUUUAGUAGCAAGGUUAACCGUUUAGGGGAGCCGUAGGGAAACCGAGUCUUAACUGGGCGUACAGUUGCUAGGAUUAGACCCGAAACCAGGUGAUCUAGCCAUGGGCAGGUUGAAGGUUGAGUAACAUCAACUGGAGGACCGAACCGACUAAUGUUGAAAAAUUAGCGGAUGACUUGUGGCUAGGGGUGAAAGGCCAAUCAAACCUGGAGAUAGCUGGUUCUCCCCGAAAGCUAUUUAGGUAGCGCCUCGGACGAAUACUACUGGGGGUAGAGCACUGUUAAGGCUAGGGGGUCAUCCCGACUUACCAACCCUUUGCAAACUCCGAAUACCAGUAAGUACUAUCCGGGAGACACACGGCGGGUGCUAACGUCCGUCGUGGAGAGGGAAACAACCCAGACCGCCAGCUAAGGUCCCAAAGUAUAGCUAAGUGGGAAACGAUGUGGGAAGGCUCAGACAGCCAGGAUGUUGGCUUAGAAGCAGCCAUCAUUUAAAGAAAGCGUAAUAGCUCACUGGUCGAGUCGGCCUGCGCGGAAGAUGUAACGGGGCUAAGCUAUACACCGAAGCUGCGGCUACGUACCUUAGGGUAUGUGGGGUAGGGGAGCGUUCUGUAAGCCGUUGAAGGUGGUCUGUAAGGGCUGCUGGAGGUAUCAGAAGUGCGAAUGCUGACAUGAGUAACGAUAAAGGGAGUGAAAAACUCCCUCGCCGGAAGACCAAGGGUUCCUGUCCAACGUUAAUCGGGGCAGGGUAAGUCGACUCCUAAGGCGAGGCCGAAAGGCGUAGUCGAUGGGAAACGGGUUAAUAUUCCCGUACUUCUUACAAUUGCGAUGGGGGGACGGAGAAGGCUAGGUGGGCCUGGCGACGGUUGUCCAGGUUCAAGUACGUAGGCGGGUGGUUUAGGUAAAUCCGGACCGCUACUAACGCUGAGAUACGAUGUCGAGCUACUACGGUAGUGAAGUCAUUGAUGCCAUGCUUCCAGGAAAAGCCUCUAAGCUUCAGAUUGUAAGGAAUCGUACCCCAAACCGACACAGGUGGUCGGGUAGAGAAUACCAAGGCGCUUGAGAGAACUCGGGUGAAGGAACUAGGCAAAAUGGUACCGUAACUUCGGGAGAAGGUACGCUCUUAUCAGUGAAGUCCCUCGCGGAUGGAGCAGACGAGAGUCGCAGAUACCAGGUGGCUGCAACUGUUUAUUAAAAACACAGCACUGUGCAAAAUCGUAAGAUGACGUAUACGGUGUGACGCCUGCCCGGUGCCGGAAGGUUAAUUGAUGGGGUUAGACUUCGGUCGAAGCUCUUGAUCGAAGCCCCGGUAAACGGCGGCCGUAACUAUAACGGUCCUAAGGUAGCGAAAUUCCUUGUCGGGUAAGUUCCGACCUGCACGAAUGGCGUAAUGAUGGCCACGCUGUCUCCACCCGAGACUCAGUGAAAUUGAAAUCGCUGUGAAGAUGCAGUGUACCCGCGGCUAGACGGAAAGACCCCGUGAACCUUUACUACAGCUUGGCACUGAACAUUGAACCUACAUGUGUAGGAUAGGUGGGAGACUUUGAAAC